UGGGGAAUAUUGCACAAUGGAGGAAACUCUGAUGCAGCGACGCCGCGUGAGUGAAGAAGGUCUUCGGAUCGUAAAACUCUGUCCUUGGUGACGAAAAAAAUGACGGUAGCCAAGGAGGAAGCCCCGGCUAACUACGUGCCAGCAGCCGCGGUAAUACGUAGGGGGCGAGCGUUGUCCGGAUUUACUGGGCGUAAAGGGUGAGUAGGCGGUAAUAUGUGUCAGAUGUAAAAGGCUAUGGCUUAACCAUAGUUAGCAUUUGAAACUGUAUUACUUGAUUGCAGGAGAGGUAAGUGGAAUUCCUAGUGUAGCGGUGAAAUGCGUAGAUAUUAGGAGGAACACCAGUGGCGAAGGCGACUUACUGGACUGUAACUGACGCUGAGUCACGAAAGCGUGGGUAGCAAACA
This 404-nucleotide ribosomal RNA is filed under the name uncultured bacterium. RNAcentral describes it as "bacterial SSU rRNA". It matches the Rfam family "Bacterial small subunit ribosomal RNA", at positions 355 to 774 of the family's 1533-position model. The record is from RNAcentral.